RNAcentral lists this ribosomal RNA (250 nucleotides) under uncultured Acidobacteriota bacterium. RNAcentral describes it as "uncultured Acidobacteria bacterium partial 16S ribosomal RNA". It matches the Rfam family "Bacterial small subunit ribosomal RNA", at positions 524 to 773 of the family's 1533-position model. Lineage: Bacteria; Pseudomonadati; Acidobacteriota. The record is from RNAcentral.
UACAGAGGUGGCAAGCGUUGUUCGGAAUUACUGGGCGUAAAGGGCGCGUAGGCGGCCUUCUAAGUCAGACGUGAAAUCCCCAGGCUUAACUUGGGAACUGCGUCUGAUACUGGAGGGCUCGAGUCCGGGAGAGGGAUGUGGAAUUCCAGGUGUAGCGGUGAAAUGCGUAGAUAUCGGGAGGAACACCGGUGGCGAAGGCGGCAUCCUGGACCGACACUGACGCUGAGGCGCGAAAGCCAGGGGAGCAAAC